CCGGUGGCAAACCGGAGGAAGGUGGGGAUGACGUCAAAUCAUCAUGCCCCUUAUGACCUGGGCUACACACGUGCUACAAUGGAUGGUACAACGAGUUGCGAGACCGCGAGGUCAAGCUAAUCUCUUAAAGCCAUUCUCAGUUCGGACUGUAGGCUGCAACUCGCCUACACGAAGUCGGAAUCGCUAGUAAUCGCGGAUCAGCACGCCGCGAAGAAUACGUUCCCGGGCCUUGUACACACCGCCCGUCUCUCCAUGAGAGUUUGUAACACCCGAAGCCGGUGGCGUAACCCUUUAGGGAGC
RNAcentral lists this ribosomal RNA (300 nucleotides) under Lacticaseibacillus sp. RNAcentral describes it as "bacterial SSU rRNA". It matches the Rfam family "Bacterial small subunit ribosomal RNA", at positions 1152 to 1449 of the family's 1533-position model. Lineage: Bacteria; Bacillati; Bacillota; Bacilli; Lactobacillales; Lactobacillaceae. The record is from RNAcentral.